CGGAGGGAUCAUUACCGAGUUAUACAACUCAUCAACCCUGUGAACAUACCUAAAACGUUGCUUCGGCGGGAACAGACGGCCCCGUAACACGGGCCGCCCCCGCCAGAGGACCCCCUAACUCUGUUUCUAUUAUGUUUCUUCUGAGUAAAACAAGCAAAUAAAUUAAAACUUUCAACAACGGAUCUCUUGGCUCUGGCAUCGAUGAAGAACGCAGCGAAAUGCGAUAAGUAAUGUGAAUUGCAGAAUUCAGUGAAUCAUCGAAUCUUUGAACGCACAUUGCGCCCGCCAGUAUUCUGGCGGGCAUGCCUGUUCGAGCGUCAUUACAACCCUCAGGCCCCCGGGCCUGGCGUUGGGGAUCGGCGAGGCGCCCCCUGCGGGCACACGCCGUCCCCCAAAUACAGUGGCGGUCCCGCCGCAGCUUCCAUUGCGUAGUAGCUAACACCUCGCAACUGGAGAGCGGCGCGGCCACGCCGUAAAACACCCAACUUCUGAAUGUUGACCUCGAAUCAGGUAGGAAUACCCGCUGAACUUAAGCAUAUCA
RNAcentral lists this unclassified non-coding RNA (541 nucleotides) under Fusarium solani. RNAcentral's name for it is "sequence contains ITS1, 5.8S rRNA gene, ITS2". The stretch from base 167 to 320 matches the Rfam family "5.8S ribosomal RNA". Lineage: Eukaryota; Fungi; Ascomycota; Sordariomycetes; Hypocreales; Nectriaceae. The record is from RNAcentral.